GGGUUGUGAGGUUAAGCGACUAAGCGUACACGGUGGAUGCCCUGGCAGUCAGAGGCGAUGAAGGACGUGCUAAUCUGCGAUAAGCGUCGGUAAGGUGAUAUGAACCGUUAUAACCGGCGAUUUCCGAAUGGGGAAACCCAGUGUGUUUCGACACACUAUCAUUAACUGAAUCCAUAGGUUAAUGAGGCGAACCGGGGGAACUGAAACAUCUAAGUACCCCGAGGAAAAGAAAUCAACCGAGAUUCCCCCAGUAGCGGCGAGCGAACGGGGAGCAGCCCAGAGCCUGAAUCAGUGUGUGUGUUAGUGGAAGCGUCUGGAAAGGCGCGCGAUACAGGGUGACAGCCCCGUACACAAAAAUGCACAUGCUGUGAGCUCGAUGAGUAGGGCGGGACACGUGGUAUCCUGUCUGAAUAUGGGGGGACCAUCCUCCAAGGCUAAAUACUCCUGACUGACCGAUAGUGAACCAGUACCGUGAGGGAAAGGCGAAAAGAACCCCGGCGAGGGGAGUGAAAAAGAACCUGAAACCGUGUACGUACAAGCAGUGGGAGCACAGAGCAAUCUGUGUGACUGCGUACCUUUUGUAUAAUGGGUCAGCGACUUAUAUUCUGUAGCAAGGUUAACCGAAUAGGGGAGCCGAAGGGAAACCGAGUCUUAACUGGGCGUUAAGUUGCAGGGUAUAGACCCGAAACCCGGUGAUCUAGCCAUGGGCAGGUUGAAGGUUGGGUAACACUAACUGGAGGACCGAACCGACUAAUGUUGAAAAAUUAGCGGAUGACUUGUGGCUGGGGGUGAAAGGCCAAUCAAACCGGGAGAUAGCUGGUUCUCCCCGAAAGCUAUUUAGGUAGCGCCUCGUGAAUUCAUCUCCGGGGGUAGAGCACUGUUUCGGCAAGGGGGUCAUCCCGACUUACCAACCCGAUGCAAACUGCGAAUACCGGAGAAUGUUAUCACGGGAGACACACGGCGGGUGCUAACGUCCGUCGUGAAGAGGGAAACAACCCAGACCGCCAGCUAAGGUCCCAAAGUCAUGGUUAAGUGGGAAACGAUGUGGGAAGGCCCAGACAGCCAGGAUGUUGGCUUAGAAGCAGCCAUCAUUUAAAGAAAGCGUAAUAGCUCACUGGUCGAGUCGGCCUGCGCGGAAGAUGUAACGGGGCUAAACCAUGCACCGAAGCUGCGGCAGCGACGCUUAUGCGUUGUUGGGUAGGGGAGCGUUCUGUAAGCCUGUGAAGGUGUACUGUGAGGUAUGCUGGAGGUAUCAGAAGUGCGAAUGCUGACAUAAGUAACGAUAAAGCGGGUGAAAAGCCCGCUCGCCGGAAGACCAAGGGUUCCUGUCCAACGUUAAUCGGGGCAGGGUGAGUCGACCCCUAAGGCGAGGCCGAAAGGCGUAGUCGAUGGGAAACAGGUUAAUAUUCCUGUACUUGGUGUUACUGCGAAGGGGGGACGGAGAAGGCUAUGUUAGCCGGGCGACGGUUGUCCCGGUUUAAGCGUGUAGGCUGGUUUUCCAGGCAAAUCCGGAAAAUCAAGGCUGAGGCGUGAUGACGAGGCACUACGGUGCUGAAGCAACAAAUGCCCUGCUUCCAGGAAAAGCCUCUAAGCAUCAGGUAACAUCAAAUCGUACCCCAAACCGACACAGGUGGUCAGGUAGAGAAUACCAAGGCGCUUGAGAGAACUCGGGUGAAGGAACUAGGCAAAAUGGUGCCGUAACUUCGGGAGAAGGCACGCUGAUAUGUAGGUGAAGUCCCUCGCGGAUGGAGCUGAAAUCAGUCGAAGAUACCAGCUGGCUGCAACUGUUUAUUAAAAACACAGCACUGUGCAAACACGAAAGUGGACGUAUACGGUGUGACGCCUGCCCGGUGCCGGAAGGUUAAUUGAUGGGGUCAGCGCAAGCGAAGCUCUUGAUCGAAGCCCCGGUAAACGGCGGCCGUAACUAUAACGGUCCUAAGGUAGCGAAAUUCCUUGUCGGGUAAGUUCCGACCUGCACGAAUGGCGUAAUGAUGGCCAGGCUGUCUCCACCCGAGACUCAGUGAAAUUGAACUCGCUGUGAAGAUGCAGUGUACCCGCGGCAAGACGGAAAGACCCCGUGAACCUUUACUAUAGCUUGACACUGAACAUUGAGCCUUGAUGUGUAGGAUAGGUGGGAGGCUUUGAAGUGUGGACGCCAGUCUGCAUGGAGCCGACCUUGAAAUACCACCCUUUAAUGUUUGAUGUUCUAACGUGGACCCGUGAUCCGGGUUGCGGACAGUGUCUGGUGGGUAGUUUGACUGGGGCGGUCUCCUCCUAAAGAGUAACGGAGGAGCACGAAGGUUGGCUAAUCCUGGUCGGACAUCAGGAGGUUAGUGCAAUGGCAUAAGCCAGCUUGACUGCGAGCGUGACGGCGCGAGCAGGUGCGAAAGCAGGUCAUAGUGAUCCGGUGGUUCUGAAUGGAAGGGCCAUCGCUCAACGGAUAAAAGGUACUCCGGGGAUAACAGGCUGAUACCGCCCAAGAGUUCAUAUCGACGGCGGUGUUUGGCACCUCGAUGUCGGCUCAUCACAUCCUGGGGCUGAAGUAGGUCCCAAGGGUAUGGCUGUUCGCCAUUUAAAGUGGUACGCGAGCUGGGUUUAGAACGUCGUGAGACAGUUCGGUCCCUAUCUGCCGUGGGCGCUGGAGAAUUGAGGGGGGCUGCUCCUAGUACGAGAGGACCGGAGUGGACGCAUCACUGGUGUUCGGGUUGUCAUGCCAAUGGCACUGCCCGGUAGCUAAAUGCGGAAGAGAUAAGUGCUGAAAGCAUCUAAGCACGAAACUUGCCCCGAGAUGAGUUCUCCCUGACUCCUUGAGAGUCCUGAAGGAACGUUGAAGACGACGACGUUGAUAGGCCGGGUGUGUAAGCGCAGCGAUGCGUUGAGCUAACCGGUACUAAUGAACCGUGAGGCUUAACCUUACAACGCCGAAGCUGUU
This 2932-nucleotide ribosomal RNA is filed under the name Escherichia coli. Its description in RNAcentral is "23S ribosomal RNA". It matches the Rfam family "Bacterial large subunit ribosomal RNA". Lineage: Bacteria; Pseudomonadati; Pseudomonadota; Gammaproteobacteria; Enterobacterales; Enterobacteriaceae. The record is from RNAcentral.